AGAGGAUCACAACUGCCGUGUUAGUGUUCGACCAGCAUUUUCAAAAGCAGACAUUGAUGGGCUGCGGUGCUCUGAUGGACUCUGGUGCUCAGCAGCUUUUCUGAGCAGGUGUUGAACAAAGGCGAAGCCUGCUGAACACCCUCGUGCUAAACACUCCACGAGGAAGUGGUUGGUGGGGAUGUAGCUGAAGCAGUAGACACAUUACAUCUGCUUGUGAAAACCCUCCCACAGCCCCUUGCCUUUGUUUUCAGCCAGGUGCUCCUGAUUUAAACAGCUCAAGGGCAUAAAUAAGUGGCAGGAGUGAAGGAUCACUGGGACCGUAUAGGCACUACUGGUACUUGAGCAAUGUACCUUGGAACCACUAGCAGAAAAACUAAGUAAAAUGCACUCUCUGCCACUACUUUGAAUGGCACAGCAAUAGAUGAAAGCAUGCAGAGAGGAAGAAGUGGCUAUUAAGAGGUGACAGAUGAACUCAAAUAUUAGAACAAUAUUUCAUGGAAGGGGAAGAAGCAGCGAGAUCAGGGAGAUAAGUAACACCUCUGUCAUAUUGUGGCUGUUGGGGGAACGUGCUGCCCAUGCUGCUGAGAAGCAAGGCCUGUUCCUGGCGCUCUCCGGGUUCCAGUGGGCUCUGUGCUGCUCUGCCCCUCACCACUUGCCUUGGCAAGCAGAUAUAUCUGCUUAUUACAGAGAAAUAUCUCACUUGUACCACUGGCAGCAAGCUGUGCAGCUCAGAGCCCACGCUUUUUUCCUGUCCUGCCACCAGAAGUCCACAUCCUCCUCCUCCUCCUCCUCCUCUGGAGCGAGGGCAGCUCUGCCCUUCAGGCCAUGGCCAUCAGGAUUGCAUUUGUCUAAAAUGAGAGAAGAUUACUGCUGAUGUUCCUGGCUCCUUACUGCAACAGCAAAAUGGGAGAUAAAAUAAAUGGCUUGACUGAAACCUUGCAAGAACAUAAAUUGCAGCGUAGAUUAAGAAGUCAGUUUUGUCAUAAUAGAAGGCAGAGCUUAUCAUUACAUUUCAUUUCUCUUAAUGGACACUUUCUGCUGCAUUUACAGGAACAGGGCAAUUCUUUCUGAGCUGAAUUGUGUGUGUGUUUUCCCAUGUGAUUUAAACCAGGCAGAGCUUCAAGGCAUAUACACCUGAACUGCAACAUACCCUUCCUUUUCUCUCAUUUUCAUUCCUGCAGUGACCAGACCGUGAUCUGCUUCCAAGGCAAUUAUACCUGUCUCCUCAAUUCAAAAGGAUGAGAAUGUUAGAUAACAGAAAAUACCUCAAAUCUCUGACAGGUGCUUUUUGGUCCUCUCCCUUCUCCUCAGUGUUCAUCAGCUCUAAAGACAUACACUAUUCUUUCCCUUGUUCUUCCUGGCACUCAAAAAAUUGUUGCUCAUUAUCACUAUAGAAAUUAUUAUCACUUGUAACUUUUUUGGCUU
Molecule: long non-coding RNA, 1425 nt
Organism: Numida meleagris (helmeted guineafowl)
Lineage: Eukaryota; Metazoa; Chordata; Aves; Galliformes; Numididae
Exons: 3
Source: RefSeq, a predicted model, not a curated record